UGGCUCAGGACGAAACGCUGGCGGCGUGCCUCAUACAUGCAAGUGGAGCGACGAACCAGGCUUCGGCCUGGGGCAAAGCCGCGAACGGGUGAGUAACACGUGGGUAACCUGCCCCGAUGAUUGGGACAACCCGAGGAAACUCGGGCUAAUACCAAAUGUGCUCCUGGCUGUGAUGGCCAGGCGGAAAGGAAGCUUCGGCCUCCGCAUCGGGAUGGGCCCGCGGCCCAUUAGCUAGUUGGUGGGGUAAUGGCCUACCAAGGCGACGAUGGGUAGCUGGUCUGAGAGGACGAUCAGCCACACUGGGACUGAGACACGGCCCAGACUCCUACGGGAGGCAGCAGUAGGGAAUCUUGCGCAAUGCGCGAAAGCGUGACGCAGCAACGCCGCGUGGGGGAAGAAGGCUUUCGGGUUGUAAACCCCUUUCAGUUGGGACGAAGCUCCGUCGGUUAAUAGCCGCCUGGAGUGACGGUACCUUCACAAGAAGCACCGGCUAA
This 494-nucleotide ribosomal RNA is filed under the name uncultured bacterium. RNAcentral's name for it is "bacterial SSU rRNA". It matches the Rfam family "Bacterial small subunit ribosomal RNA", at positions 20 to 500 of the family's 1533-position model. The record is from RNAcentral.